This 492-nucleotide ribosomal RNA is filed under the name uncultured bacterium. Its description in RNAcentral is "partial 16S ribosomal RNA". It matches the Rfam family "Bacterial small subunit ribosomal RNA", at positions 29 to 507 of the family's 1533-position model. The record is from RNAcentral.
AGUGAACGCUGGCGGUAGGCCUAACACAUGCAAGUCGAACGGCAGCACAGUAAGAGCUUGCUCUUACGGGUGGCGAGUGGCGGACGGGUGAGGAAUACAGCGGCAUCUACUUUUUCGUGGGGGAUAACGUAGGGAAACUUACGCUAAUACCGCAUACGACCUACGGUUGAAAGCAGGGGAUCUUCGGACCUUGCGUGAUUGAAUGAGACGAUGUCGGAUUAGCUAGUUGGCGGGGUAAAGGCCCACCAAGGCGACGAUCCGUAGCUGGGCUGAGAGGAUGUUCAGCCACACUUGAACUGAGACACGAUCCAGACUACUGCGGGAGGCAGCAGUGGGGAAUAUUGGACAAUGGGCGCAAGCCUGAUCCAGCCGUACCGCGUGGGUGAUGAAGACCUUCGGGUUGUAAAGCCCUUCUGUUGGGAAAGAACAGCAGCAGGUUAAUACCCCGCUGUUCUGACGGUACCCAAAGAAUAAGCACCGGCUAACUUCGUG